UAAUGCUCCAUAGUGGAUAUGUCCUGGAAAUGGUAUAUCCUCGAAAGAUCCGUCGCCUUAGGAUGGGACUGCGUCCGAUUAGGUUGUUGGCGGGGUAACGGCCCACCAAGCCAUUGAUCGGUACGGGUUGUGGGAGCAAGAUCCCGGAGAUGAAUUCUGAGACAUGAAUCCAGGCCCUACGGGGCGCAGCAGGCGCGCAAACUUUACAAUGCGAGCAAUCGUGAUAAGGAAACCCUGAGUGCCUGUCGAUGCAGGCUGUUCAUAUAUCUAAAUCAUAUGUGAAGAAAGGGCAGGGCAAGACCGGUGCCAGCCGCCGCGGUAAUACCGGCUGCUCGAGUGAUGGCCACUAUUACUGGGUUUAAAGCGUCCGUAGCUUGACUGUUAGGUCUCUUGGGAAAUCUUCACGCUCAACGUGAAGGCGUCUAAGAGAUACCGGCAGUCUUGGAACUGGGAGAGGUAAACCGUACUUCGGGGGUAAGAGUGAAAUCUUGUAAUCCUCGAGGGACGACCUAUGGCGAAGGCAGUUUACCAAAACAGCUUCGACAGUGAAGGACGAAAGCUGGGGGAACAAACGGGAUUAAAUACCCCGGUAGUCCCAGCCGUAAACAAUGUGCGUUAGGUGU
RNAcentral lists this ribosomal RNA (623 nucleotides) under uncultured archaeon. RNAcentral describes it as "bacterial SSU rRNA". It matches the Rfam family "Archaeal small subunit ribosomal RNA", at positions 147 to 774 of the family's 1478-position model. The record is from RNAcentral.